This 103-nucleotide ribosomal RNA is filed under the name Zancudomyces culisetae. Its description in RNAcentral is "partial 5.8S ribosomal RNA". It matches the Rfam family "5.8S ribosomal RNA", at positions 50 to 154 of the family's 154-position model. From Rfam's summary of the family: 5.8S ribosomal RNA (5.8S rRNA) is a component of the large subunit of the eukaryotic ribosome. It is transcribed by RNA polymerase I as part of the 45S precursor that also contains 18S and 28S rRNA. Lineage: Eukaryota; Fungi; Kickxellomycota; Harpellomycetes; Harpellales; Legeriomycetaceae. The record is from RNAcentral.
GAAUUGCGAAAAUUGUUGCGAAUCGCAGCCCGUGAGUCAUCGAGUCUUUGAACGCAUAUUGCACCUUUUCUUUGGAAAAGGUAUGCCUGUUUGAGCUUUAGUU